Molecule: ribosomal RNA, 270 nt
Filed under: uncultured prokaryote
Description: partial 16S ribosomal RNA
Rfam family: Bacterial small subunit ribosomal RNA
Source: RNAcentral
UACGUAGGUGGCAAGCGUUGUCCGGAAUUACUGGGUGUAAAGGGCGUGUAGGCGGAGCUACAAGUCAGGGGUGAAAACUAUGGGCUUAACCCAUAGCCUGCCUUUGAAACUGUAGCCCUUGAGUGCUGGAGAGGCAAUCGGAAUUCCUAGUGUAGCGGUGAAAUUGCGUAGAUAUUAGGAGGAACACCAGUGGCGAAGGCGGAUUGCUGGACAGUAACUGACGCUGAGGCGCGAAAGCGUGGGGAGCAAAGAGGAUUAGAUACCCUGGUA